UACGAAGGGGGCUAGCGUUGCUCGGAAUCACUGGGCGUAAAGGGUGCGUAGGCGGGUCUUUAAGUCGGGGGUGAAAUCCUGGAGCUCAACUCCAGAACUGCCUUCGAUACUGGGAAACUUGAGUCCGGGAGAGGUGAGUGGAACUGCGAGUGUAGAGGUGAAAUUCGUAGAUAUUCGCAAGAACACCAGUGGCGAAGGCGGCUCACUGGCCCGGUACUGACGCUGAGGUGCGAAAGCGUGGGGAGCAAACAGG
This 253-nucleotide ribosomal RNA is filed under the name uncultured bacterium. Its description in RNAcentral is "partial 16S ribosomal RNA". It matches the Rfam family "Bacterial small subunit ribosomal RNA", at positions 524 to 776 of the family's 1533-position model. The record is from RNAcentral.